RNAcentral lists this unclassified non-coding RNA (297 nucleotides) under uncultured Agaricomycetes. RNAcentral's name for it is "sequence contains ITS2". The stretch from base 1 to 52 matches the Rfam family "5.8S ribosomal RNA", at positions 103 to 154 of the family's 154-position model. The record is from RNAcentral. Lineage: Eukaryota; Fungi; Basidiomycota; Agaricomycetes.
AACGCACCUUGCGCUCCUUGGUAUUCCGAGGAGCAUGCCUGUUCGAGUGUCAUGAAACUCUCAAACUGUCAUCUUUUAUUGGAUGUUCAGGCUUGGAUUUGGAUGUUGCUGGGUCUAACGACUUGGCUCGUCUUAAAAGCAUUAGCUGUCUCUCACGACUUCAGUUAACGGUGUGAUAAUUACAUCUACGCCGAAGCCUUCGGGCGCUGAGUUGGGUUAAAGCGGCUUCUAACCGUCUUCGGACAAUUUCAUUUCACAUCUGGCCUCGAAUCAGGUAGGACUACCCGCUGAACUUAA